UAUAACAUUGUUUACAGACUCUGAAAUUAUAAAUAUCAAGGUAAUGGGUUAUUGUGUUUGAUUAACGAUAUUUUUGUUUACUUUUAAGGUGUAUUUAUUUCUAUAAAUAUUAUAAAAAAUCAAAUAAAUCUUUUAAGAUAGAAGAAAACACAUAUGAAAUUACUUAGUCUCCUCUAGGUAGACAGGGUUAUUGUUUCUUUUUUGUAACUUUCAUUUUAGGUUCAGUGGUACAUGUGAAGGUUUCUUAUAUAGGUAAAUUUGUGUCCUAAAGGUUUGUUGUACAGAUUAUUUCAUCAACCAGGUAUUAACCCUGGUACUCAAUAGUUAUUUUAUUUAUUUAUUUGUUUUUGCUCCUCUCUUUCCUCCCACCCUCCACCUUCAGGAAAAACUGAAAAGAAUUCAACAUGAUAUUUUUAUAUUUGACUAUAUAAAAAUGUAAAAUAUCUGUAUGAUAAAAUCAUUAAACUUUGAGGG
This 474-nucleotide long non-coding RNA is filed under the name Homo sapiens (human). RNAcentral describes it as "long non-coding RNA NONHSAT255767". The record is from RNAcentral. Lineage: Eukaryota; Metazoa; Chordata; Mammalia; Primates; Hominidae.